CAUCACAGACCCAUGAGUGCAGCAGUGUCCUCUCUGGCCUCCCUGUCUCCAGUGGUGAAGUUGGGGAAGGGUGGCCCUAGGUAUGCCUCCCACCCUAAUGUUCCUACUUCAGGGUAAGCUCCCUGAGCAGGGAUGAGGCUGUCUAGCACAGCCUGGCAUUCCACUGCCAACCACCAGACUCAACACCAGAUUGGAAAACAGCUCCAGAGGAAGGAUAUCGUUUGUUUGAGGUCACCCGGUUUGCGAAGAUGAAGUCAGAGUUUACAGCCCAUGUUGUUCACCGAUGAGUUACGUCACUAACCACGUUCCAAAGUGAUGCUGAUGGAAAGAAUGCUGGUGCUUCAGAGUCCUGGGGCAACCUUGAGAAGCUGCAGAGGAGUGGACGACCACGAGCUGGGGCUUGUUUUAGAUGCUCCUUCUCUUCAAAUUUCGUGCUCAUCAAAGUACAUAUUUUUCUGCACUGUAUCAAAGAAUCCUUUGUUUAAUAGAAGACACAGAAUAAUUCGGUAUGGACCUUUGUCUGAGGCUGAGUAAUAUUUCUUGGCAUUAUCUUUAUCUAUUCAUCUGUCGAUGGACACUAAGCUGUUUCCAUACCUUGGCUCUUGUGAACAAGGCUGCAGUCAACACAAGAAUGCACAUGUCUCUUUGAGAUUCCGAUGUCAAUUCUGGUGGAUAUAUACCCCAAAGUGGGAUCGCUGGAUUGUGCUGAGUGAAAGAAGCCAGUCACAGAAGGACAAAUAUUGUGUGAUUCCACUUAUGUGAGCUAUCUGAAACGGUUCAACUCACUAUAGUUGACAACACUGCAUUGUGUCAUUGAAAUUUGCGAAGAGAGAACUUAAAUAUGCUUGCAAGAAAAAGAGAGAAAGAGAAGAAAAGAGAAACCUGUGUGGUGACGGAUGUGUUAUUUAUCCUGAUGAGGGGAAUCCUUUCGCAAUGUAUCAAAUCAUGUCAUUGUAAAUAGCUAACACGUUUAUUUGGCAGUGAUGCCCUAUUAAAACUGAAAAAAUACCCCCCAAACCAAAAAAGAAGGAAAAAAUGUCAAACUCACAGAAACAGAGGAGAAUGGUGAUUGCCAGGAGCUGGGGGAAGAGGAAAGAGGGAGCUGCUGUCUGACAGGCACAAAGUUUCAGUCGUGCAAGAUGAAGGCAUCAGAAGAGAUCACAUUCAUGUGCUUAGAGAACGUCACAUGUGCUCUGUGUCCUCCACGUAGGCAGGGCGGGAUGGCUGAAGUGGGCUGGAGUCCCCACAGGUAG
Molecule: non-coding RNA, 1253 nt
Organism: Equus caballus (horse)
Lineage: Eukaryota; Metazoa; Chordata; Mammalia; Perissodactyla; Equidae
Source: RefSeq, a predicted model, not a curated record